GGACGAACGCUGGCGGCGUGCUUAACACAUGCAAGUCGAACGGAAAGGCCCUGCUUUUGUGGGGUGCUCGAGUGGCGAGCGGGUGAGUAACACGUGAGUAACCUGCCCUUGACUUUGGGAUAACUUCAGGAAACUGGGGCUAAUACCGGAUAGGAGCUCCUGCUGCAUGGUGGGGGUUGGAAAGUUUCGGCGGUUGGGGAUGGACUCGCGGCUUAUCAGCUUGUUGGUGGGGUAGUGGCUUACCAAGGCUUUGACGGGUAGCCGGCCUGAGAGGGUGACCGGCCACAUUGGGACUGAGAUACGGCCCAGACUCCUACGGGAGGCAGCAGUGGGGAAUAUUGCACAAUGGGCGGAAGCCUGAUGCAGCAACGCCGCGUGCGGGACGACGGCCUUCGGGUUGUAAACCGCUUUCGCCUGUGACGAAGCGUGAGUGACGGUAAUGGGUAAAGAAGCACCGGCUAACUACGUG
Molecule: ribosomal RNA, 469 nt
Filed under: uncultured bacterium
Lineage: Bacteria
Description: partial 16S ribosomal RNA
Rfam family: Bacterial small subunit ribosomal RNA
Source: RNAcentral